Molecule: ribosomal RNA, 439 nt
Filed under: uncultured bacterium
Lineage: Bacteria
Description: partial 16S ribosomal RNA
Rfam family: Bacterial small subunit ribosomal RNA
Source: RNAcentral
CUACGGGUCGCAGCAGUGGGGAAUCUUGGACAAUGGGCGCAAGCCUGAUCCAGCCAUGCCGCGUGAGUGAAGAAGGCCUUAGGGUCGUAAAGCUCUUUCGCCAGAGAUGAUAAUGACAGUAUCUGGUAAAGAAACCCCGGCUAACUCCGUGGCCAGCAGCCGCGGUAAUACGGAGGGGGUUAGCGUUGUUCGGAAUUACUUGGCGUAAAGCGCGCGUAGGCGAUUAGUCAGUCAGAGGUGAAAUCCCAGGGCUCAACCCUGGAACUGCCUUUGAUACUGCUAGUCUUGAGUUCGAGAGAGGUGAGUGGAAUUCCGAGUGUAGAGGUGAAAUUCGUAGAUAUUCGGAGGAACACCAGUGGCGAAGGCGGCUCACUGGCUCGAUACUGACGCUGAGGUGCGAAAGUGUGGGGAGCAAACAGGAUUAGAUACCCCCGUAGUC